AGAAGUCUUUUGGGAUGUAUUUUUAAACAGGAGGUUUUGAAAACUCCAAAUUUAGCUUCAUAAAAAGAGGUAGUGCAAGUGUGAAGCAUGUGGUCAUUUUGGCAUACUCAGUGUAUAACUUCUCUCUUUACCUAUAUAAGGAUAUAAUAAAGCUUUAGAAAUGUGCAAAGCAGAAAUCUUCCAGUUCUGUUUAUUCACUUUCAGUCAGGUAGUAAAAUAUCCUAAUGUUCUAUGAAGAAAUCUUCAAAAUGCACUACUGGAAAAGCCUGCUAAAGAGAGAGAAAGCAACAAGUUCUUUAUUUAGCUACUGAGCAGUUUAAAGGAGAGGAUCAGUGAGGGUUUUUUUAAUCCAACUAUGUCUGUGAGAAAACAGGCUGAAAGGACCAAAGCCACAAAGCACGUAACAGAGUUGACUAUAAAAUAAGGGACUUAUUCCAAGGUCUCCCUGCCACACUCUGCUCAAUGAGGAUACACAAUGUGUAUCCUCAUAUUCUACCCACUCUCACUAUUGAACCCACUUAACGACUUUCAAAUUUAAAACCAAUUAU
Long non-coding RNA from Sapajus apella (tufted capuchin), 548 nucleotides. RefSeq lists it as uncharacterized. The record is from RefSeq and is a predicted model, not a curated record. Lineage: Eukaryota; Metazoa; Chordata; Mammalia; Primates; Cebidae. The transcript is spliced from 2 exons.